ACUAAGCGUACACGGUGGAUGCCCUGGCAGUCAGAGGCGAUGAAGGGCGUGCUAAUCUGCGAUAAGCGCCGGUAAGGUGAUAUGAACCGUUAUAACCGGCGAUACCCGAAUGGGGAAACCCAGUGUGAUUCGUCACACUAUCAUUAACUGAAUCCAUAGGUUAAUGAGGCGAACCGGGGGAACUGAAACAUCUAAGUACCCCGAGGAAAAGAAAUCAACCGAGAUUCCCCCAGUAGCGGCGAGCGAACGGGGAGGAGCCCAGAGCCUGAAUCAGCAUGUGUGUUAGUGGAAGCGUCUGGAAAGGCGCGCGAUACAGGGUGACAGCCCCGUACACAAAAGCGCAUGUGCUGUGAGCUCGAUGAGUAGGGCGGGACACGUGGUAUCCUGUCUGAAUAUGGGGGGACCAUCCUCCAAGGCUAAAUACUCCUGACUGACCGAUAGUGAACCAGUACCGUGAGGGAAAGGCGAAAAGAACCCCGGCGAGGGGAGUGAAAAAGAACCUGAAACCGUGUACGUACAAGCAGUGGGAGCACCCUUCGGGGUGUGACUGCGUACCUUUUGUAUAAUGGGUCAGCGACUUAUAUUCUGUAGCAAGGUUAACCGAAUAGGGGAGCCGGAGGGAAACCGAGUCUUAAUUGGGCGUUAAGUUGCAGGGUAUAGACCCGAAACCCGGUGAUCUAGCCAUGGGCAGGUUGAAGGUUGGGUAACACUAACUGGAGGACCGAACCGACUAAUGUUGAAAAAUUAGCGGAUGACCUGUGGCUGGGGGUGAAAGGCCAAUCAAACCGGGAGAUAGCUGGUUCUCCCCGAAAGCUAUUUAGGUAGCGCCUCGUGAAUUCAUCUCCGGGGGUAGAGCACUGUUUCGGCUAGGGGGCCAUCCCGGCUUACCAACCCGAUGCAAACUGCGAAUACCGGAGAAUGUUAUCACGGGAGACACACGGCGGGUGCUAACGUCCGUCGUGAAGAGGGAAACAACCCAGACCGCCAGCUAAGGUCCCAAAGUCAUGGUUAAGUGGGAAACGAUGUGGGAAGGCCCAGACAGCCAGGAUGUUGGCUUAGAAGCAGCCAUCAUUUAAAGAAAGCGUAAUAGCUCACUGGUCGAGUCGGCCUGCGCGGAAGAUGUAACGGGGCUAAACCAUGCACCGAAGCUGCGGCAGCGAACGUAUCACCCAAGACAACUUUACGGAGUUGACGAUUGACGGAGCGAAGCGACGUCAAAGCGUUCAUUAAAGUCGAGUUGGCUUAGGGAUACGUUCGUUGGGUAGGGGAGCGUUCUGUAAGCCUGUGAAGGUGUGUCGUGAGGCAUGCUGGAGGUAUCAGAAGUGCGAAUGCUGACAUAAGUAACGAUAAAGCGGGUGAAAAGCCCGCUCGCCGGAAGACCAAGGGUUCCUGUCCAACGUUAAUCGGGGCAGGGUGAGUCGACCCCUAAGGCGAGGCCGAAAGGCGUAGUCGAUGGGAAACGGGUUAAUAUUCCCGUACUUGGUGUUACUGCGAAGGGGGGACGGAGAAGGCUAUGUUGGCCGGGCGACGGUUGUCCCGGUUUAAGCGUGUAGGUGUGUGUUCCAGGUAAAUCCGGUUCACUUUAACACUGAGGCGUGACGACGAGGCACUACGGUGCUGAAGCAACAAAUGCCCUGCUUCCAGGAAAAGCCUCUAAGCAUCAGGUAACAUCAAAUCGUACCCCAAACCGACACAGGUGGUCAGGUAGAGAAUACCAAGGCGCUUGAGAGAACUCGGGUGAAGGAACUAGGCAAAAUGGUGCCGUAACUUCGGGAGAAGGCACGCUGACACGUAGGUGAAGUGAUUUACUCACGGAGCUGAAGUCAGUCGAAGAUACCAGCUGGCUGCAACUGUUUAUUAAAAACACAGCACUGUGCAAACACGAAAGUGGACGUAUACGGUGUGACGCCUGCCCGGUGCCGGAAGGUUAAUUGAUGGGGUCAGCGCAAGCGAAGCUCCUGAUCGAAGCCCCGGUAAACGGCGGCCGUAACUAUAACGGUCCUAAGGUAGCGAAAUUCCUUGUCGGGUAAGUUCCGACCUGCACGAAUGGCGUAAUGAUGGCCAGGCUGUCUCCACCCGAGACUCAGUGAAAUUGAACUCGCUGUGAAGAUGCAGUGUACCCGCGGCAAGACGGAAAGACCCCGUGAACCUUUACUAUAGCUUGACACUGAACAUUGAGCCUUGAUGUGUAGGAUAGGUGGGAGGCUUUGAAGUGUGGACGCCAGUCUGCAUGGAGCCGACCUUGAAAUACCACCCUUUAAUGUUUGAUGUUCUAACGUGGACCCGUAAUCCGGGUUGCGGACAGUGUCUGGUGGGUAGUUUGACUGGGGCGGUCUCCUCCUAAAGAGUAACGGAGGAGCACGAAGGUUGGCUAAUCCUGGUCGGACAUCAGGAGGUUAGUGCAAUGGCAUAAGCCAGCUUGACUGCGAGCGUGACGGCGCGAGCAGGUGCGAAAGCAGGUCAUAGUGAUCCGGUGGUUCUGAAUGGAAGGGCCAUCGCUCAACGGAUAAAAGGUACUCCGGGGAUAACAGGCUGAUACCGCCCAAGAGUUCAUAUCGACGGCGGUGUUUGGCACCUCGAUGUCGGCUCAUCACAUCCUGGGGCUGAAGUAGGUCCCAAGGGUAUGGCUGUUCGCCAUUUAAAGUGGUACGCGAGCUGGGUUUAGAACGUCGUGAGACAGUUCGGUCCCUAUCUGCCGUGGGCGCUGGAGAACUGAGGGGGGCUGCUCCUAGUACGAGAGGACCGGAGUGGACGCAUCACUGGUGUUCGGGUUGUCAUGCCAAUGGCACUGCCCGGUAGCUAAAUGCGGAAGAGAUAAGUGCUGAAAGCAUCUAAGCACGAAACUUGCCCCGAGAUGAGUUCUCCCUGAGACUUAGAGUCUCCUGAAGGAACGUUGAAGACGACGACGUUGAUAGGCCGGGUGUGUAAGCGCAGCGAUGCGUUGAGCUAACCGGUACUAAUGAACCGUGAGGCUUAACC
RNAcentral lists this ribosomal RNA (2979 nucleotides) under Salmonella enterica subsp. enterica serovar Typhimurium. Its description in RNAcentral is "bacterial LSU rRNA". It matches the Rfam family "Bacterial large subunit ribosomal RNA". Lineage: Bacteria; Pseudomonadati; Pseudomonadota; Gammaproteobacteria; Enterobacterales; Enterobacteriaceae. The record is from RNAcentral.